ACGGGAGGCAGCAGUGGGGCAUAUUGCACAAUGGGGGAAACCCUGAUGCAGCAACGCCGCGUGAGUGAAGAAGUAUUUCGGUAUGUAAAGCUCUAUCAGCAGGGAAGAAAAUGACGGUACCUGACUAAGAAGCCCCGGCUAACUACGUGCCAGCAGCCGCGGUAAUACGUAGGGGGCAAGCGUUAUCCGGAUUUACUGGGUGUAAAGGGAGCGUAGACGGCGAUGCAAGUCUGAUGGGAAAGCCCGGGGCUCAACCCCGGCACUUCAUUGGAAACUGUGUUGCUAGAGUGCAGGAGAGGUAAGUGGAAUUCCUAGUGUAGCGGUGAAAUACGUAGAUAUUAGGAGGAACACCAGAGGCGAAGGCGGCUUACUGGACUGUAACUGACGUUGAGGCUCGAAAGCGUGGGGAGCAAACAGGAUUAGAUACCCUGGUA
RNAcentral lists this ribosomal RNA (434 nucleotides) under uncultured Lachnospiraceae bacterium. Its description in RNAcentral is "partial 16S ribosomal RNA". It matches the Rfam family "Bacterial small subunit ribosomal RNA", at positions 341 to 792 of the family's 1533-position model. The record is from RNAcentral. Lineage: Bacteria; Bacillati; Bacillota; Clostridia; Lachnospirales; Lachnospiraceae.